AUCUUAUCAAGAGCGGUGGAGGAAUCUGGUCCUGUGAUCCCGCGGCAACCUGUUCGUAAAGAACAAGGUGCUUCUUCCAGCAGACACUAUCUGUCUGAAAGAUAAGAG
RNAcentral lists this non-coding RNA (108 nucleotides) under Salimicrobium jeotgali. RNAcentral's name for it is "SAM-I sequence". It matches the Rfam family "SAM riboswitch aptamer (S box leader)". Rfam says of the family: The SAM riboswitch is found upstream of a number of genes which code for proteins involved in methionine or cysteine biosynthesis in Gram-positive bacteria. The SAM riboswitch acts at the level of transcription termination control. Lineage: Bacteria; Bacillati; Bacillota; Bacilli; Caryophanales; Bacillaceae. The record is from Rfam by way of RNAcentral.